Molecule: long non-coding RNA, 1791 nt
Organism: Bos taurus (domestic cattle)
Lineage: Eukaryota; Metazoa; Chordata; Mammalia; Artiodactyla; Bovidae
Source: Ensembl
ACUGCAACCGGCCUCAGAGGAGGGCUGGUCACAGUGUAAAGAUCUCGGAAGGCAGGAACAUCCUCGAGGAGACCAAGUAGAGCCUCCCUCACAUUAGAGAAAAAGGCCUGGCUGCCGUGUGCUCCUCAGCCAAGCUACAGCCAAGCAUCCCUCUGGGAUACACUUAUAUGACGGCCCAGUGCACUGAACAUCACAGGAAAGAAUCAGGAAUGGUUCCUUCUCAUUUUUGAUGUUUGGGCCUUUGGAAGCUGGAAAGAGACUUUGCUGGGAGCUGUCUGAAGAAACAGUGAGGGGUGGUGAGGGGGAGAUGAGAGCACAGAGAGGAUAUUGGUGAGACAGACAGAGACAUGUGGAGGGGAGGGAAGCCAGAAAAGAGGAGGCUGCUCCCCCGGGGUGGUUUUGCAUUGUUGACUGCAUACCUUUUACAUUGAAGUCCCCUGGGAGCCACAGGUGCAUCCCAGCUGCACCCAAGCAAGUCUAAUUCAGAACUAGAUUCCCUAGCAGUCUCCUCUCUAGAUCUUAGAUGAUAAUCCCAGGAGAAGAAAGAGUGGAAGAUUCCACAGAAAUGUUUCACUUUUGAAGUUCCUCUUAAAGAAAAGCAAUCACCUUUGUCUCCGCAUCUCCACUAGCCCUUCCUCUUUUCUGAGUUUCUUCUUGGUCACCAACAUGCGUUUAAGGCACUUCAAGGAAAUUUCUGGAUCUCUGGGCUUUGAGGAGUUUCGGCAUCAAACCAUCUGCCCCCUUUCCACACAGAACAGAAGAAAGGCAGUGUGCAGGCCCAGAUUCUCUGCUCUGUGGUUUGAAAUGUUUCCAGGGAAAGCACGAACACUCCCAAGAACCCUAAGUUUACUUAUCACUGGCAGAGAAACAGAACCUGGCAGACAAAGCAAAACCACGAUCCUGGGCUAUGUGGGCUAACUGUGAAGAAAGCGGGGUUGGAAAGCAAGUCUCAAGAGGCUCGGCAACGCUGACUGAUGGACUCUUUUCAGGCAAAAGUGUGGCAGUCUUGCUGAAGAGAGAAUGCCGACUCUGGUUCAUUUCAAUUUCCUUCCAUUUCUCCAUGAAUCAAAAUCAUUUUCACUUCAUUGAGUUUUGAUGAUAAUCUGGUGAUGAGCUACUCAUUUGCCAGAAUUUUCUAAUUAGCACAGAAAGGAAAGGAAUCUUCAACAUGGUUUGUCUCAUUUGCUUUCCUCUAAGGCAGAGGUCAUAAAUUUAUGCAGUUGGCUACCUUAUCCGUGGUUUUUUGGUUUUAUUUCACUUGGUAGAGGGAAGAAAAAAAAUGAGGUCUCCAGAUCUGACCCAGGCUCACAAAUUUAUACUGGGCCUAAUUCUUACCACUCUAAAAGGAAAUAUGUGCUCAAAAUAAUAAGCACAUAUUAGUUUACUGUUCUGUGAGUCAGUGAUCUGGCCUGAGAUCAUUGGACAGUUCUUCUGGUGGUAUCAUCUAGACUUAGGAAUACAGCUGCUGUUGGCUAAAGGACUGACUGGAAUCUGGUCGUCUAUGGUGGACUCAUUCACACAUCUGGUGGUUGAUGCUGGCACUUAGUUGGGACCAUGUAGGUAAUUGAUCCAUACAUCUUUGACCAGCCAGCCCAGCUUACUCAUAUGAUAGAGUUCACAGGGGUCCCAGAGAUCCCUGAGGACCAAGAGAGGACAACCUCAGUGCGGAAGUACUUCUCAAGUUUCUGCUUCUACUAUGUUUUCUAAUAGCCCACUGCUUAAAGCAAGUCACAAGGUCAAGACCAGAUUCAAGGGGUGGAAAAACAGACUCCAUACCUGGAUAGGAACUGU